RNAcentral lists this ribosomal RNA (394 nucleotides) under uncultured bacterium. Its description in RNAcentral is "partial 16S ribosomal RNA". It matches the Rfam family "Bacterial small subunit ribosomal RNA", at positions 338 to 729 of the family's 1533-position model. The record is from RNAcentral.
ACUACGGGUGGCAGCAGUGAGGAAUAUUGGACAAUGGACGCAAGUCUGAACCAGCCAUGCCGCGUGCAGGAAGACGGCUCUAGGAGUUGUAAACUGCUUUUGUACGAGGGUAAACGAAGAUACGAGUAACUGUCUGAAAGUAUCGUACGAAUAAGGAUAGGCUAACUCCGUGCCAGCAGCCGCGGUAAUACGGAGGAUUCAAGCGUUAUCCGGAUUUAUUGGGUUUAAAGGGUGCGUAGGCGGUCGGAUAAGUUAGAGGUGAAAUCCCGGGGCUCAACUUCGGAAUUGCCUCUGAUACUGUUCGGCUAGAGAGUAGUUGCGGUAGGCGGAAUGUAUGGUGUAGCGGUGAAAUGCUUAGAAAUCAUACAGAACACCGGUUGCGAAGGCAGCUUAC